Molecule: ribosomal RNA, 1296 nt
Filed under: Triticum aestivum (bread wheat)
Lineage: Eukaryota; Viridiplantae; Streptophyta; Magnoliopsida; Poales; Poaceae
Description: partial small subunit ribosomal RNA
Source: RNAcentral
AUGAUAGCCUACCUGAACCUAUCACGCAAUUCUUUUGAUAAUUCGAUUCCUCAUUCUUUUGACAAGCUAGAAAGCAUGGAAACUUUGGACCUAUCCCAUAAUGAUCUAUUUGGUACCAUCCCAGAGUAUCUUACCAAUUUUACCUACCUAACUAGCUUGAACCUCUCUUUCAAUAAGCUACAAGGCCGCAUACCAGAAGGAGGUGUCUUCUCAAACAUCAGCCUACAAUCCUUGAUGGGGAACUCGGGCCUAUGUGGUGCUUCAGCUUUAGGAUUUUCACAGUGUCCAAGUAACACUACCCAAAGAACAAAAGACCACAUGUUGAAAAUUUUGCUCCCUACUAUCAUCGUAGUAACCGGAGUUGUAUCUUCAUGCAUAUAUGUAAUAAUCCGAAAGAAAAUCAAGAAGCAGCAAGGGAUGGCAGUUUCUACAGGUAUGGUUGACAUGAUCGGCCAUCAGUUGGUUUCCUACCAUGACCUCGUUCAUGCCACUGAAAAUUUUAGUGACAGCAACUUGUUGGGGUCUGGAAGCUUUGGAAAAGUUUUUAAGGGCCAACUACGCAAUGGUGUGGUGGUUGCAAUAAAAGUUCUUGACAUGCAUUUGGAACAAGCCAUUAGAAGCUUCGAUGCCGAGUGUUGUGUGCUACGCAUGGCGCGGCACCACAAUCUGAUAAGGAUCCUCAACACCUGCUCGAACCUUGAUUUCAGAGCACUGGUGCUGCCAUACAUGUGCAAUGGUAGCUUAGAGACGCUCCUUCACUCCUCUGGAGCCACAAGGAACUUGGGGUUUCUAGAGAGGUUGGACAUCAUGAUCGAUGUGUCCAUGGCAAUGGAGUAUCUACACCAUGAGCAUCGUGAGGUAGUCUUGCACUGUGACUUGAAGCCAAGCAAUGUGUUGUUCGAUGAUGACAUGACAGCACAUGUCGCGGACUUUGGCAUCGCAAGGGUGUUACUUGGUGAUGAUAACUCCGUGAUUUACUCGAGCAUGCCUGGCACAGUUGGCUACAUGGCCCCAGAGUAUGGGUCCCUUGGAAAAGCUUCGAGAAAGAGCGACAUAUUCAGCUACGGAAUCAUGUUCCUUGAAGUCUUGACUGGAAAGAGACCCACGGAUGACUUUUUUGUUGGAGAUCGUAGUCUCAGGCGGUGGGUGCUCGAGGCGUUUCCUAGGGAGGUUGUCCAUGUCGUGGAUGACCAGCUAAUACAUGACUCUUCUUCCACUGUCAGCUUGAAGGCUUUCUUGUGCCGAUGUUUGAGCUGGGCCUACUCUGCUCCAGCGACUCGCUUGACCAGAGAAUAA